This 458-nucleotide ribosomal RNA is filed under the name Streptomyces sp. HVYN-8-3. RNAcentral describes it as "bacterial SSU rRNA". It matches the Rfam family "Bacterial small subunit ribosomal RNA", at positions 54 to 526 of the family's 1533-position model. The record is from RNAcentral. Lineage: Bacteria; Bacillati; Actinomycetota; Actinomycetes; Kitasatosporales; Streptomycetaceae.
CAUGCAAGUCGAACGAUGAACCACUUCGGUGGGGAUUAGUGGCGAACGGGUGAGUAACACGUGGGCAAUCUGCCCUGCACUCUGGGACAAGCCCUGGAAACGGGGUCUAAUACCGGAUACUGACCCUCACGGGCAUCUGUGAGGUUCGAAAGCUCCGGCGGUGCAGGAUGAGCCCGCGGCCUAUCAGCUUGUUGGUGAGGUAAUGGCUCACCAAGGCGACGACGGGUAGCCGGCCUGAGAGGGCGACCGGCCACACUGGGACUGAGACACGGCCCAGACUCCUACGGGAGGCAGCAGUGGGGAAUAUUGCACAAUGGGCGAAAGCCUGAUGCAGCGACGCCGCGUGAGGGAUGACGGCCUUCGGGUUGUAAACCUCUUUCAGCAGGGAAGAAGCGAAAGUGACGGUACCUGCAGAAGAAGCGCCGGCUAACUACGUGCCAGCAGCCGGGGGGUAAUUC